AGUGUAAAGGCAUAAGGGAGCUUGACUGCGAGACCUACAAGUCGAGCAGGGUCGAAAGACGGACUUAGUGAUCCGGUGGUUCCGCAUGGAAGGGCCAUCGCUCAACGGAUAAAAGCUACCCCGGGGAUAACAGGCUUAUCUCCCCCAAGAGUUCACAUCGACGGGGAGGUUUGGCACCUCGAUGUCGGCUCAUCGCAUCCUGGGGCUGUAGUCGGUCCCAAGGGUUGGGCUGUUCGCCCAUUAAAGCGGUACGCGAGCUGGGUUCAGAACGUCGUGAGACAGUUCGGUCCCUAUCCGUCGUGGGCGUAGGAAAUUUGAGAGGAGCUGUCCUUAGUACGAGAGGACCGGGAUGGACAUACCUCUGGUGUACCAGUUGUCGUGCCAACGGCAUAGCUGGGUAGCUAUGUGUGGACGGGAUAAGUGCUGAAAGCAUCUAAGCAUGAAGCCCCCC
Molecule: ribosomal RNA, 451 nt
Filed under: Staphylococcus aureus
Lineage: Bacteria; Bacillati; Bacillota; Bacilli; Caryophanales; Staphylococcaceae
Description: partial 23S ribosomal RNA
Rfam family: Bacterial large subunit ribosomal RNA
Source: RNAcentral